GUCAGAAUGGCUGAGUGGUCUAAGGCUCCAGAUUUAAGUUCUGGUUCUCGAAAGAGGGCAGGGUUUUGGACCCCAUUUCCGACA
Molecule: non-coding RNA, 84 nt
Organism: Nephila pilipes (giant wood spider)
Lineage: Eukaryota; Metazoa; Arthropoda; Arachnida; Araneae; Nephilidae
Source: the annotation of a GenBank genome assembly